AAUUUGUGGGCAAAACAUUUUGCAGCCCUGUUACAGCGUGUCGGUAUUAACUUAUCGGCUAAACGCGUUUUUGGUAUUUUUAUUUGCAACGAUAUUUAUCGUCCUGCAUUACUCAUCUUUAGGAGCAGCAUCAAUGGCAGCGUUUCCUGAGUUUUGGCCCAGUAAUCCGCCGUGGGAACCUGCGUCUUAUUGAAAACAGUGGUAACUUCCUCUGUGGCGGCUAUCGCGCGUCAUGCAUCUCACUCAGCUGGCAGGUACGCUUAUGAUGGAUGGCCACUCGGGCAAUUCAGGAAGUGAGGGGAGCCCACAUGAAGCUGCUGGGCUAUACCGUCGCUCAUGCCAAUUAGUGGUUUGGCUCAGUGGAUCGUCGUGGAGCAGAUCAUCUUAUCUGAGUAUUGCAUGUCAGCUGGCUUGGCAGCCGCAGCAACGCAUUGGGUGGCCCGCAGUACAGGCCGGUUGCAGUUCAGGGUGCUAGGUGGAGCCCACAAGGAGCUGCUGAGCUGUUGCAUAUUUUGUUCGAGUGGGCGAUGCCGAUGCCGUCGCUCACUGCAAAUUGUGUAUUUAACCAGGAGGCCAUCGUGGGGCGUAUCAUCUUCUUGUUUGACCAGGAAUUGUUUGUAUGGGCGAUGCCGGAGCAGUCGCCCACUCCAAGUUGGGUAUUCAACCAGCAGGCCGUCGUGGAGCAUGUCAUCUUUUGGACAGCGCAUUUUCGUCGUGAUUUGGAAGCGUCCAGCGUCGUCUCUCACACGCCACGCAGCUUGGCCAGAAAUUGUUUGACUGGGCGAUACCGAAGCAAUCGCUCACCUCAAAUUGAGUACUGGGCCCAGUCGACCGUCAUAGGCGCAUCGUCUUUAUUUGCAGGACAGCACUUAGUGUCAUGGUUUGGAAACAUCCGUUGGCGUCUCUCACUCGCCACGAAGCUUGCCAGUAAUUGCAUGUCAGUUGGCUUGGCGGUCACAGUAACGCAUUCAAUCGGCUCAAUAGUAAUGGAUGGCCUGGAAGCAGGCCGGUAGCGAUUCAGAUUGCUAGAUGGAGCCCAACAGGAGCUGCUGAGCUGUUGCCCACUUUGUUUGAGAGGGCGGUGCCGGAGCUGUCGCUCACUCCAGGUUGAGUAUUUAGCCAGCAGGCCGUCGUGGAGCAUGUCAUCUUCUUGGACAGCGCAUCAUCUUCGUGAUUUGGAAAUAUCUGGUGGCGUCUCUCACACGCCACGCAGCUUGACCAGGAAUUGUUUGUAUGAGCGAUACCGAAGCAGUCGCUCACUUCAAAUGAGUAUUUGGCCCAAUUUACCGUCGUGGGUGCAUCGUCUUCUUGGGCAGCAGUUCUGCGUCUUGCUUUAGAAACAUUCAUUGUCGUCUCUCACACUCCACAAUCCGUCCAGUAGUUGCAUGUCAGCAGACCCGGGUGGCCCGCAAACAGGCCGGUUGCAGUUCAGGAUGCUAGAUGGAGCCCACAAGGAGCUGCUGGGCUGUUGAAUACCUUGUUCGAGUGGGCGAUGCCGAGGCCGUCGCUCACUCCAAAUUGAGUUCCCAAACCUUGCUUGCAGGACAGCGCAUCAUCGUCGCGGUUUGGAAACAUCCAGUGGCGUCUCUCACACGCCAUGCAGUUUGGCCAGGAAUUGUUUGAAUGGGCGAUACCGAAGCAGUCGCCCACUCUAAAUUGGGCAUUCGACCAGCAGGCCGUCGUGGAGCAUGUCAUCUUUUGGACAGCGCAUCAUCAUUCGUGAUUUGGAAAUAUCUGGUGGCGUCUCUCACACGCCACGCAGCUUGUCCAGAAUUUACAUAUCAGUCGACUUGGUAGUCACAGCAGCGUAUUAAAUCGGCUCCGUUGUACUUGAUGGCAUGCAAGCAGGCUGUUUGCGUUUCAGGAUGCUGGAUGAGCCCACAAAGAGCUGCUGAGCUGUUGCAUAUUUUGUUUGAGUGGGCGAUGCCGAGGCACUCGCUCACUCCAAAUUGAGAAUUUGGCCCAGUUGGCCGUCGUGGGCGCAUCGUGUUCUUGGUCAGCACUUCUGUGUCGUGGUUUGGAAACAUCUAUUGGCGUCUCUCAGACUCCACAAUUUGUCGAGGAAUUGCAUGUCAGCUGACUUGGCGGCAAAGUAUUAAAUCGGUUCCGUUAUGAGUCAGGAUGUUGGAUGGAGCCCACAAGGAGCAGUUGAGCUAUUUCAUAUUUGUUUUGAUCAUCUUGGGAGCUUGCGACUUCCAUGUCUUCAUUUAGAACGCGUUCCAAUGUUAACCGGACUCUCUGGAGGCCAUGCUCCAGGAGUGUUUCGUGGCUGAUGGCUGUAUUUAUCUGGGUGUGUUGUAGUUGCGGCUGCUGUGGUUGCGUCAGCGAUUGCAGGUUUCCUGUCCCCUGAGGUGAUGUCGUUAGCUGCUGUUGUGGCGUUACUGAUGCCUGUUGAGUCUGCAUUGGUAGAGUAUGCUGUGUUUGAUGAUUCUGCUGCCUCUCGUCCACAUAGUCUGGUAGGAUUAAUCGCUGGAUUGUUGGGGGUUGGCCUUGGAUGUUAGCCACUAGCUCUUCACGUGUAUUUGCUGGAGUUGGUGCCUGGCCUGGAUGACAGUCGUCGUUAGCUGAGUUUGUUGGAGUUGCGGCUGCUGUAGCUGCGGUUGCAACUGCGGAUUCACUGACUCCUGAGUUGGCGUAGUUAGCUGCUGUUGUUGCUGCGUUGAUGGUGCCUGUUGCAUCUGCAUUGGCAGAGCUUGCUGUGUUUGAUGAUCCUGCUGCCUCUCGUCCACAUAGUCUGGUAGGAUUAAUCGCUGGAUUGUUGGAGGUUGGCCUUGGAUGUUAGCCACUAGCUCUUCACGGGUAUUUGCUGGAGUUGGUGCCUGGCCUGGAUGACAGUCGUCGUUAGCUGAGUUUGUUGGAGUUGCGGCUGCUGUAGCUGCGGUUGCAACUGCGGAUUCACUGACUCCUGAGUUGGCGUAGUUAGCUGCUGUUGUUGCUGCGUUGAUGGUGCCUGUUGCAUCUGCAUUGGCAGAGCUUGCUGUGUUUGAUGAUCCUGCUGCCUCUCGUCCACAUAGUCUGGUAGGAUUAAUCGCUGGAUUGUUGGGGGUUGGCCUUGAAUAUCUGCCACUACCUCUUCACGGGAGGCGGCCGAUUAGGUUGCUGGAUCUGUUGCCUUGCCUGGAUUUCGGCCAAUCUCUCAUUUUCUCGCCUCUCUAGCUCUUCUUCUUGAAGCCGGAGGAGUGUUGGAAGCUGCUCUCUAAAUUGCAUCCUUUGUUGUGCUUGUUGUGCUUGGUGAGCAGUGUGCUGUGUGUGCGGUGGCUGUGCUUGGCGCUGUUGCGGUCCAUGAUGAUUCUGAAGCGGUCGUAUGUGUUGUUGUAAUUGCUGCAUGUAGCGGGGCCUCAGUAGGCGCUGUGGCUCAAAUGGGUGCUCUAGCAGGUUUCGUGCCUCAGGGUUUGCAUGUCUGACCAACGAGUUUGCAAAGCGGUCACUUGCCAAGUGAAAGACUUCGUCAACAGUUUUAAGGCAUCGCUGAAUUCGUUGUAACUGUGUGUCCGAUGUGAGCGCCCCCCAGACAGGGAGACCGUAUUGCCAGAUUGGUAUGAUGAGCUGCUUGAUGAGUACCGCUUUGCAGUCCUUUGCCAGUCUGCUGUUGGGACCAAGGAGCCACAUCAGUUUGGAUGCUCUUGCUCUCAGCUUGUUACUUAGUGGCGAAGGUAUUCCUCGUUCUGUCCGACAGCCCCCGAGGGAAGCGCAGAGGCACACAUGAUCACUGUAUCGUCGGCGUAUGUUGAUAACAGCAUUUGAUUUUGGCUGGGCGCAAAGUAUGUGCGUCUCAUGAGCGAUGGGAGGGGCAUAUCCGACGAGUAAAUUGUGUACAGAAUUGGGCCCAGCACACUGCCCUGGGGCACGCCGGCAGCAACUCGACCUGUUCUAGAUUUGACACCGUCGUUGCAGUUUACUACGAAGGUGCGCUCGCAUAGCAGGCCGUCAUGCCACACGCGGUCAAAGGCUUCCGAGAUAUCUAUAUAGACCGCUGAGCAGAAAUGUCGCUCUUCGUAUGCGCGUAAUAUAAAUUGCGUAACGCGGGCCAGUUGCUGCUCAGUGCCGUGUUCUCGCCUGAAGCCAAAUUGAUGGCUUGGCAUUGCCCUGGCAAAAUCCUGGACUUCGAAGAGCCUUGACAUUAAGAGCUUCUCGAAGAUCUUUGAUAGGCCCGAUAAGAGGCUGAUUGGACGAUAUGAUGUUGCUUCAGCUGUGCUUUUACCAGGCUUGGGAAUCAUAGUUAUGCCAGCGUGUUUCCAUUUGCUUGGGAAAUGCCCUAACCUUAGGCUAGAGUUGUAGAUUAGCAGCGACUUCGUUACCACUAGUGCAUCAAUUUCUAGCUUUAGUUCAUUGAGCGUGAUUGGCCUAAUAGUCUGCUGUAGCUCCUGGUCUGUUUGUUGCUGCUGGAGUUUCUGCUGCUUCAGUUGUCUCCAUUCCUGACGAAUUUCUGCACGCUCCUCAGACGAAUUAGAGAAAUUUGGACUGAAUCUUUCUUCAAGGUGGGCGACGAAAGCCUCCGCUUUUUCGGCAGUAGUUUUCGUCCAUAUUACGUUUGGAUUUGUCGCACGCCUCGCGCCCCCAUUGCCAACAUUAGCCUGUAUUGUUUUUAUUGGCCAAUUGGGCUGCGGCUGUUUUUUAAGCUUGUUGCUGGAUUAGUGCCUUCUUCAACUUAUUUUGUGCAGACCUAUAUUGUUGCCUUGCCUCUGGAGUUCGUGUCGCCAUUAAAAUCUGCUUGCAUCUCUGUUUCUCCGAUAAUAGUCUUCUGGUUGGCUCGUCCAGUUCAAGAUCGUGCCUGCGGUGGGCCCGGUGGCUAAGCUGGUUUCCUAUCUGCCUGUGUGCUGCUGCAUCUGCCGCUAUUUGAACGUUGCGUACGAAGAUGUUCACUGCAUCGUCGAUGUCCAGGCCACUGCGGAUCUCGGUGUUUAAGUGGAUUUGCUGGUCAAGAAGCUCCUGAAAACGAUGCGUAUUGGCUCCAUUAGGGGCAGGUGGUCCGAGUCCAGGUCCGUAGAGGAGUGGAUUCGAAGUCGAUUGCUAUCUAGCCCACCGUAGACUGCGAGGUCAAUUGCUGAUGGUCUUUUCCUCCUAUCGUACGGGUAGUGCGUUGCUCCGCCGGUGGCCAGAACAUUAUAUCGACUUUGCGUGUGAAUUGCUUCGAAGAGCGCUUUGCCUCUGUGACAGGCGCGCGGGUUUCCCCACCAUGAGUGCUGGGCAUUCCAGUCACCGCAGAGGAGAAAGUUAGAUGAAGCCAGUUCUGUGAUUUUGUCAAAAUGUCUGAACAGUUUUGUGAAGUGUUCGACUGACCAUUUGAACACUGGGGGGCAGUAUAUUGGCGCAAUUAUAAUUAUUUCCCUUUUAUUCUCAUUUUCAGGAAGUAAGGCAACAGGCAUAAUCUGGAGGAAGUUCUCGGACAUUGGAUGAAGGGCGGCAUGUCUAAUGUCGUUUCGUACAAAGAUAGCGACUCCACCUCUCCGAUACGUGUGUGGAUUGGUUGUACUGUAUGUGUGGUAGCCGUCCAUGCUUAGUAUGCUGGCGUCAGAUGGAACCCGAGUUUCGAUGACCAUCAUAAUUUGGAUGGACUCGCGUCGCAUGUACAGCUCUAGCUCUGUCAUUUUGUUGCCUAUACCACAUGCAUUCCAGAAAGCAAUUUUAAGUGGGUUGCUAUUCUGGCCGCUCCUGUGGAUGGUCACAUGUGGAUUUGCUGUACUAAUUGGCGCACUGUUGUGGACAUUUUCAGCUGAGGAAGUAGUGGCUAUGGUCAAUUGAGAGUCGGUACUGCUGUGAGUACGACUAUACAUAUUUAGUGACGUCAUUGGCGAUGGCAGCUUCCCUAGAGCAGUCCAUUUGGGCUGCUUUGCUGUCUGUUUGUUGAUGGGCUAUGUUUGGGAACACAUGAUUAUUGGUGUUUGUUGUAUUGUUUUCAUUAUGGAUGGUAAUGAAUUGCACAAGGACAUUUAAUAGAGUGUCUAUUCUUUUUUCCAUGCGACUAAACAUUGCCAUGUUUUGUUCUAAUGUCUGGAGUAUAGUGCU
Molecule: long non-coding RNA, 6006 nt
Organism: Drosophila novamexicana
Lineage: Eukaryota; Metazoa; Arthropoda; Insecta; Diptera; Drosophilidae
Exons: 17
Source: RefSeq, a predicted model, not a curated record